RNAcentral lists this ribosomal RNA (661 nucleotides) under uncultured Chloroflexota bacterium. Its description in RNAcentral is "bacterial SSU rRNA". It matches the Rfam family "Bacterial small subunit ribosomal RNA", at positions 145 to 811 of the family's 1533-position model. Lineage: Bacteria; Bacillati; Chloroflexota. The record is from RNAcentral.
AACGUUCCGAAAGGGAUGCUAAUACGCCAUAAGCACACAGAGGUUAGAGGCUCGGUGUGAAAAAGGACAUCGGAAGGUGAUCCGUUUCAGGAGGGGACUGCGGCCCAUCAGCUAGUUGGUGAGGUAGAAGCCCACCAAGGCGAAGACGGGUAGGGGGCCUGAGAGGGUGGUCCCCCACACGGGCACUGAGAGACGGGCCCGACUCCUACGGGAGGCAGCAGUAAGGGAUAUUGCACAAUGGGCGCAAGCCUGAUGCAGCAACGCCGCGUGCACGAGGAAGGCCUUCGGGUCGUAAAGUGCUUUUCGGGGAGAAGAGGAAGGACGGUACCCCCGGAAUAAGUGUCGGCUAACUACGUGCCAGCAGCCGCGGUAAAACGUAGGACGCGAGCGUUAUCCGGAGUUACUGGGCGUAAAGGGCGGGUAGGCGGCUAGUCAAGUUGGAUGUGAAAUCUCCUGGCUAAACUGGGAGGGUGCAUUCGAAACUGAGUAGCUAGAGGACAGCAGAGGGUCGUGGAAUUCCGGGUGGAGUGGUGAAAUGCGUAGAGAUCCGGAGGAACACCAGAGGCGAAAGCGGCGACCUGGGCUGUAGCUGACGCUGAACCGCGAAAGCCAGGGGAGCGAACGGGAUUAGAAACCCCGGUAGUCCUGGCCGUAAACGAUG